Long non-coding RNA from Benincasa hispida (wax gourd), 3886 nucleotides. RefSeq lists it as uncharacterized. Lineage: Eukaryota; Viridiplantae; Streptophyta; Magnoliopsida; Cucurbitales; Cucurbitaceae. The record is from RefSeq and is a predicted model, not a curated record.
UACAUAUUUAUGUCAUAUGGUAGAUACUUCAAAAACCUUCCAGAAUAAUUAUUAUUGUCUUCUAUUUCAACACUCCCCCUCAACGCUAACUAUUCUAGCUCUUUCCAUCAUCUCGAAUUGUUGUUGGAAUUUUGCAUGGUUAGGUGCUUUUAGGCUUCAGGCACUAUGUCCCAAUGUCGAUGUCUUCUCAAUGUGUCCACUUCUUCUUCCAUGGUCUUUCUCCAUUGGCUAUUCUAUGACGCUUAUUCAUAUGUUGUUGGCUCCUCAAAUGUUGCUAAUGUCGUAUUCACGUAUCUAAAAUUAGGUUUUCUUAGUCUUAUUAAUCUUGGUAAUUGUGGCCCUUGAUUAUGUAAUCCACUUUGCAAAGGAAUUUGUGUCAUUAAUUGCUCUUCUUCGUUUUUGUUGUUUUCUUCUUCUCAUUCUAUUGGAGCCUGUUGCACUUUACUUAUCUCUUCUAUUGAUUCUUCUUUGAAAGAUUUCUCAUCUUUAGGUGUCUUUUUUGAUUCGGAUGCCUGUUAUGACGAUGCUUUAUCAACGGUAACAAUUCUUGAUGUAUAGCAUUGUUCACUGACAAAAUUAAUGCACCUUGUUCUUAGGUGUCUUUGCCCAUUCACGUAGGUGCCCUCUGCUAACAUUACAUAGAUGGAGUCUAUUUCUUGUUCUUCUAUCAAUAGCGUACCACUAACUUCCAAAUCUCGGUAUACCUUGACACGAUCAAGUCCAAACACAAUCAGGUCCAAAAAUUAAUACUGAUACUUUCUACUCGAGUUUAAUUGGCAGAUAUCUUUACGAAAGUGUUGGGAAAAGAAAAUUUUGAAUUUCUUCUUUGCAAGUUGGGCAUUCGAGAUAUUCACACUCCAACUUGAAGAGGAGAUUACGAAUAUUGUUAUUAUUAAUAUUCCUCCGUUUUUAUUGUGAAUGUAUUAUAUUUCCUAAAUCUAAUUAUGUAUUUUAGAUAACAAAUAAUUAUAACUAGGAGGUUUUCUUUAGGAAUUAAUUUAUGUAUUUUAGGUAACUAAUUUUUUGUAUUUUGUGGGUGAAAAUCAUGUAUAUGAGUUUUGAAGGAAGUGAAUGAGAAACACAGGAAGAGAGAUUUUGGCAAUCCAUAUUUCAAUGAAAAAAAAUUAAGUUAAUUUAUCAAAGAAACUAACUCUAGAAAUCAAAAUUUAGAGACUUGAUGGGCUUUUAGGAUAAAUCCACUGAGGCUCAAGAAGAAUUUAAACUCUGGAAGUGGAAGGCAAUUGUGGGAAUGAAUAGUUUUCAAAAUGCCACGUAGUUGAUCAAAAUUUCUUCCUACACAAAAGACGUCAGCAAACAAAAUACUCUGUUUACUCUCAUUUUGACAUGUAAGAACACUCUUCGAUGGCAGCUUGUUUUGAUGAUGAAAACACAUGCAAGGACAGAGAUAAAGUAGGAGAAAAAGAGAAAGAAGAGAAAAAUAAGAAGACUCGAGUUACGUGGUUCGAUCAAGUGAUCUACGUCUAUGAGAAGAAGCACUCUACUUUCAAAAUCACAAGAAGAGUUUACAAGAUAUUUUCUCUUAUUUUUCCACUCUUUUCUUUAUUUGUUUGUAUUGUAUAAAAUGAAAGUUUGAAUCCUCUUUUAUACUUCAGGCAGAUUCAUACAAGAGAGUUUAUUAAGAGAAAGUAAAAUUUAUUUCAUUAUUUUCACUCCAUCAUUGAAACCAAUAUACAUACAUAUCAUAGCUCUAGCCUUUAAUUUUUUUUGGUUCCCCACACAACAAAAAACCUUUAAGUUAUCUAGGUUAGGGGGUGUUUAGUCCAUUUCUCUUCUAGAGUUAGGAAGUUUAAAGAAGUAUGAGGGCAUCUAUUUAGUGUAUAAAUUGUGUAAGAGGCUACUUCAGCCCAAAACUUCUCAUGUAGUACAACAUUAGAUAAACGACAUCUAACCCUCUCCAUAAUGGUUUUGUUAAGUCUUUCUGCAACUCUAUUCUAUUGAGGGGUGUGUCUUACAAUUCUAUGUCUAGUUAUGCCUCAUUUUCUACAAAACUUGUUAAAAUCCUCACCACAGAAUUCUAGUCUAUCGUCUAUUCUUAGGUACUUGAUAUUCUUCAUUGUUUGAUUUUCAAUCUUAGUUUUAAGGAAAUAAACCAAACUUCUUCUAGAGUAAUUAUCAGUUAGGGUUAGAAUGUACAUUGAUCCACUUGGGGGGGGGGAAUGGUUGGGGCUGGCCCCCAAAGAUCUAGGUGGAUAUAGUUUAGGAUUCCUUUUGUGGUAUGGUGGGAUUUGAUAAAGCUAUGUCUUAUUGACUUGCGAAGUAUGCAAUGUUCACAAAGGUGAGUUGGUCACUGAUGCCAUUAGGAAGAAGUCACUGUUUAGAUAGAGCUUGGAGCCUUUUUGCACUAUGUGAGUCAACUUUUUAUGUCAUAUAUCACCUUCUAUCAAGGUGGAAACAAUCACUGUAUUUGCUGAGUUUAUCAUCUACAUACCAUUGAUUAUAAACACUCCAUUUACCUUUUCCCCAGCCAAGACCACCUUUCCAUCUUUAAUUACUUCAAAAGUUCUUCCUUUGCCUUGAUAUUCAUAGCCAAUAGAGUCUAGCAUCCCUAAAGAUAUGAGAUUUCUUUUUAGUUUAGGAACAUGUCUCACAUUCCUUAAUAGUUUGAUUAAUCUAUCCUCUAAUUUUAAGGAAACUGAACUAAUACCAAUUAUUUUGCAGACCUCAUUGUUUCCCAUAUACACAGGAUCUUCUUCAAUUUCUCUAUAGGUGCUGAACCAUGAUUUGAAAGGAGUCAUGUGGAAGGUAUAGCUUGAAUCUAACACCCAAUCAUGCUUUUCAAGUGGACUGAUUAGAUUAGCUUUGUCUUGAGUGGCGGCAAGUGCAUCUGAAUAGUUUGGCAAGAUCUAGAAUGGCUCGAGGCUUUUGCUGGCCUAGGAUUGCCUUAAUUUUGGCUUUUCAUGGACCAAAAUCACCUCUACCAUCAAAUUUCUCCACUUUGUACCUUGCAACAACCAUCUAUGAUGAGUUCUUGAUUCUUGAUUCUUCAUGAUUUGAAAUCUUUGGAUCUGUAUUUGAUAUGGUACCACUAUUGUUGGCCUUUUAGGAUAAAUCCACUGAGGCCCAAGAAGAAUUUAAACUCUAGAAGUGGAAGGCAGCUGUGGGAAUGAAUGAUUUCCAGAAUGCCACGUUGUUGAUCAAAAUUUCUUCUUACAAAAAAGAGGACAAAGAUGAAGUAGAAGACAAAGAGAAGGAAGAAAGAAAGAAGAAGACUCGAGUUACGUGGUUCGAUCAAGUGAUCUUCGUCCAGGGAGAUGAAGAACUCUACUUUCAAAAUCACAAGAAGUGUUUACAAGAAAUUCUCUCUUAUUUUUCCUCUCUUUCCUCUAUUUAUUUGUAUUGUAUAAAAUGAAAGUUUUAAUCCCAUUUUAUACUUAAGGCAGAUUCAUUACAAGAGAGUUGUUAAGAGAAAGUGAAGUUGAUUUCAUUAAAUACAAGACUUUUAUCUCCAAAUGUAUAACUCAACUAAUUAACAACAUAAGUCUUUAAUUAAGGGCAAAAUACACUUUUAGUUCCUGAAGUUUGAAGUUUAUGUCUAUUUGGUUUCUAGGUUUAAAAAGGAACACUUUAGCCUAUGAAAUUUGAAAAAUAGUUCAAAAUGGUCCCUAAAGUUAGUUUGACGAUUAGUUUAUGGUUAAAAAGUUGAUGUGGCAGUCACUGAAUGAUUGUACAACACCGAUGUAGCAUUUUUCAGAUGAGUUAUCUUAUUGGUUUGUUUUAGUUGAGGUGUGGACUUUCACUUCCCCCUCUCUCUUUCUCCUUUCAUCUUCUUCCUCUUCUUCUUCCUUUCUUAUAUGUCAUCUUCCAGCAAACCCAUUGCUGGCAAUCAUUGCUACUGAGCAGAUGCUAUUGCCACAAUACCAGUCAU